GACAGAGGUGGCAAGCGUUGUUCGGAAUCACUGGGCUUAAAGGGUGUGUAGGCGGUUAGGUAAGCAUCGUGUGAAAGCCCCAGGCUCAACCUGGGAAUUGCACGAUGUACUGCCAAACUUGAGGCGCGUAGAGGUUACCGGAACUCUGGGUGGAGCGGUGAAAUGCGUAGAUAUCCAGGGGAACGCCAAUGGCGAAGGCAGGUAACUGGGCGCGUCCUGACGCUGAGGCACGAAAGCGUGGGGAGCGAACGGG
This 253-nucleotide ribosomal RNA is filed under the name uncultured bacterium. Its description in RNAcentral is "partial 16S ribosomal RNA". It matches the Rfam family "Bacterial small subunit ribosomal RNA", at positions 524 to 776 of the family's 1533-position model. The record is from RNAcentral.